Molecule: unclassified non-coding RNA, 19 nt
Filed under: Mus musculus (house mouse)
Lineage: Eukaryota; Metazoa; Chordata; Mammalia; Rodentia; Muridae
Description: oocyte_clustered_small_RNA5828
Source: RNAcentral
GCAAUAUCACAAACACCUG